Molecule: long non-coding RNA, 1011 nt
Organism: Triticum aestivum (bread wheat)
Lineage: Eukaryota; Viridiplantae; Streptophyta; Magnoliopsida; Poales; Poaceae
Exons: 2
Source: RefSeq, a predicted model, not a curated record
GCUGCACCCCGCCGUCUCCUUCCGCCGCAAUCCCGUCCCCGGCCACCUCCUCUCUCACAAACAACGCUGCACCCCGCCGUCUCCUUCCGCCGCAAUCCCAUCCCCGGCCACCUCCCCUCUCCUUCACCUGCGCUAGGUCACAGGGGGUGAUGGGGCAUGCAGGAGUGCGGAGGCUAUUUCUGUCGGAUGUGGAACUUGGGCUGCAGCGGCAUGCCCGCCCCGUCCUUGCCUCGAGGUCGCAGCCGCCGCGUUGUCCACGUCCCAUCAUCUCGGUUCGGUCAGCACGCAAGCCCUCGCAAGGAGUCGCUGAAUCUUCCUGUCGAUCCGCCUCAACGUGAACUGCAUGACGUGCCCCUAUGAUGUGCGUGUACUAGCUAGCGGCAACGUGACACCUAACGAGGAUGCGCGCUCGGCCAUGAAGACAAGACCAGGACGGCGCGAUUGGAGGGACGACAACGCCUCAGAGUGCUGCGGCCAGCUGCUACCCUGUAGUCGCUGCCGGCCAUGGGAUCGACACGCCCCGUGGCUCCACUAUGAGGUUGUGUUAACCUGGAGCUGUUGCGCGUGUGCGCACAUCAUGCAGUUUGAGCAGGCAAAGCUCCGGCAGUCCACCUUCUUCUCGCCAGCCCGUGAGACGCAAGUCUGCCUCUUCUCUCUGAUUUCCCUCUUUUCCUGAUGUGCUUCUUUGGUUCGUGAUUGUACUUCCUUCUUUUUUCAUGCUCGGUAGUUGUUUGUGUUAAUGCCUAUAAGGGGAAAUCAAAUUCCUGGUCAUUUUCUUAGCUACAGUGAGUUUUCCAAUUUGUCACUCAUGGUUUUAGUUUUCUAGAAACAAAAUUUGGUUCUGCACAACGUAUAUGUAUAUCUUUUGAUGUGCUCUCAAAUCACGUUUUCUUGGGAGAAGUUUACAUUUAUCAUGGAGAGAUCAGGCUUUCUGUGAAGUGUGAACCAAUAAUUCAUGGUUUCUGAAUAUUUUACCAUCAUGGGAGACCAAUCAACCAAAUUAUUGCGAGA